Oncorhynchus gorbuscha (pink salmon) is the source of this 183-nucleotide long non-coding RNA. RefSeq lists it as uncharacterized. The transcript is spliced from 3 exons. The record is from RefSeq and is a predicted model, not a curated record. NCBI's taxonomy places the organism in Eukaryota, Metazoa, Chordata, Actinopteri, Salmoniformes, Salmonidae.
ACAACUCACACUACACACACCGGACCAGGCCAACAUCAGCAGGCGUGAGGAUGUGUGGGCGUGGCUUUCAGGCUCCCUGUUGCCAAGGUUACUGGAUAGCACCACCCUAAUGCAGGAAACAGGAAGUGUGCUCCUGGGCACGCCCAGACUACGACAGAUACGAGACGUUAGUCUGUUCUCCAG